Molecule: ribosomal RNA, 403 nt
Filed under: uncultured bacterium
Lineage: Bacteria
Description: partial 16S ribosomal RNA
Rfam family: Bacterial small subunit ribosomal RNA
Source: RNAcentral
AUUGAACGCUGGCGGCAGGCCUAACACAUGCAAGUCGAGCGAGCGGCGGACGGGUGAGUAAUGUAUGGGGACUGCCCGAUAGAGGGGGAUAACACCUGGAAACGGUGGCUAAUACCGCAUACUGUCGGAGAAACCAUAUGGGAUUAGCUAGUGGGUAAGGUAAUGGCUUACCAAGGCGACGCUCCCUAGCUGGUCUGAGAGGAUGAUCAGCCACACUGGGACUGAGACACGGCCCAGACUCCUACGGAGGCAGCAGUGGGGAAUAUUGGACAAGGGGCGAAAGCCUGAUCCAGCCAUGCCGCGUGUAUGAAGAAGGCCUUAGGGUUGUAAAGUACUUUCAGUCGGGAGGCGUUACCGACAGAAGAAGCACCGGCUAACUCCGUGCCAGCAGCCGCGGUAAUUC